Non-coding RNA from Schistosoma haematobium, 46 nucleotides. The record is from Rfam. NCBI's taxonomy places the organism in Eukaryota, Metazoa, Platyhelminthes, Trematoda, Strigeidida, Schistosomatidae.
GUAAAGGCCCUUUUCAGGGCCAACCACAAUUUGAUUUAAAUUCUUU